AUCAUUACCGAAUCGUCAAACACGGGUUUGUUUGCUGGCCCCCCAAACGGGGCAUGUGCACGCUCUGUUUACGCAUCCACUCACACCUGUGCACCCUCUGUAGUCCUAUGGUUCGGAAGACCCCGUCUUCCUUCUGUAGYUCUACGUCUUUACACACACGCCGUAGCGAUGUCUCAUGGAAUGUUUUUAUGCGUUUAAYGCGAUACAAUACAACUUUCAGCAACGGAUCUCUUGGCUCUCGCAUCGAUGAAGAACGCAGCGAAAUGCGAUAAGUAAUGUGAAUUGCAGAAUUCAGUGAAUCAUCGAAUCUUUGAACGCACCUUGCGCCCCUUGGUUAUUCCUUGGAGCAUGCCUGUUUGAGUAUCAUGAACACCUCAACUCUCACGGUCUUCCGUGAUGAGCUUGGACUUUGGGGGUUUGCUGGCCCUGCGGCCGGCUCCUCUCAAAUGAAUCAGCUUGCCAGUGUUUGGUGGCAUCACGGGUGUGAUAACUAUCUACGCUCGCGGUCGUCUGCCAGGUAACCCUCAGCAAUGAAGGUUCAUUGGAGCUCAUAAACGUCUCUCCUCGGCGAGGACAACUUUUGAACGUUCGAUCUCAAAUCAGGUAGGAUUACCCGCUGAACUUAAGCAUAUCAAUAAGCGGAGGAAAAGAAACUAACAAGGAUUCCCCUAGUAACUGCGAGUGAAGCGGGAAGAGCUCAAAUUUAAAAUCUGGCGUGCCUCUGGUCGUCCGAAUUGUAGUCUGGAGAAGCGUUUUCCGUGUCG
This 764-nucleotide ribosomal RNA is filed under the name Tomentella sp. 1 SGT-2012. RNAcentral describes it as "eukaryotic LSU rRNA". The stretch from base 212 to 366 matches the Rfam family "5.8S ribosomal RNA". Lineage: Eukaryota; Fungi; Basidiomycota; Agaricomycetes; Thelephorales; Thelephoraceae. The record is from RNAcentral.